Molecule: long non-coding RNA, 1799 nt
Filed under: Mytilus galloprovincialis (Mediterranean mussel)
Lineage: Eukaryota; Metazoa; Mollusca; Bivalvia; Mytilida; Mytilidae
Source: RNAcentral
UUUUUUUUAGUUGUGGAACAUGUAUAUUCAAAACGGAUCAAAUAAAAAACAAAAUAUCAACAUAUUUAUAACCUUUUAAUGAUUCUCACAAUCAACAGCUGUCAACAUCAUACCAUAUGAUAAUAACCAUGGAAACUAAAUAUUGCACACAUUUUUUUCAAUCCUAUAUCAUAAACAAAUAACAAUGUUCUAUAUAUAGAUAUGUUGUCAUGACAACAGCCAACAAGACUAUUGAAUCAAGUACAUUAAACAUGGAAUAUCGUAGCAAUGACCUUGAUAUUUGGAAGUGAAUCAAUCUACAAUAUAUUUCUUCAAACUUCGUCCACGCCAUUUUAUCUUAAAAUAGGUCAAUAAACAUGCUUAAGUAUCUUUCGUAACUUCAUUAACAGAAUCAACAAUAUUCUAAGGCGAAGUCAUACAUUUUCCUAAAAGAAAAAGAAGCGAAGGACAGAGUGCUAACAGCUAUAUUUGGUCUAAUUUUUUACUAAAAUUCAAAAGUUUUGUCUAUUUCCAAUUUGUAAUUCUGUAAUCUUUCAAUUUUUAGGCCCCUAGCACAACUCCUCCUUUCUUUGAAAUAUGAGUCAAACAAAAGUUAACUAUUAAACUACCAUGCAAAGAAUCACCUCUUUCUAUUUGCUUUCUGACUGUACACCUCAUUACACUUCUUUCAUACAAAAUAUGAUAUUAGCCACAGAAAACAAGUUUAAACAAAAAUCUAUGACAUUUUAGGGUAAAAAUGGAUAUAUUGACUAUUCAAAAAUUGAAUUAGAAAUCACCAAAUGUCUUUACCAAGUAUAAUGAAAUUUUAUUAUGUCAUCUAAAUGGUUAAAAAGUGCAGUAACAUGUAUAAAGAAUGAAUGUUCCUUGCAACCAUGUUUUUUUGUGAACAUCAAUAAUAUCAGACAAUUUAUUUAUAAUAACACCAUACAUAUUAAUUUUAAUGUAGUCUGAUGUCCUGCAUAGAUCAUUCUUCAUCCUCAAAUAACGUCAAAUUCCUUGUAAAUUGAGAAAAUUGUCAGGUUUAACCAUUUUGUUAGUUCACAGUAUAUAUCAGGUUAUCUCCCUUACAAUAGGACUUUUAUCAGUUUAUUUCAUAUCUUUACACAAAAUAUUAUAGAAAUAAAACAAAAAUAAUCAUGGUGAUUUACUCAUUUUGUAUUAAGGGUCUAUAGGGACUCACAAGUAUUUCUUGACAACAAAAUAAUUAUAGCAAGAAUAAUCAAUUGCUAAUCUGCAGCAAAUCUUUAACAUUCAUGUCUUCUACCUAAAUAGCGAUACACAGUAUCCUUCAUCUUAAGAUAAGAACAAAUACAAGCGCUUCAAAUAGCAAAAUAUCUGAAACAUUGACAAUGGAAUGAUCUUAUUUAUUACAUAAGUUAUAAUAUCAUAAUACUACAAUUUAAUGGAUUUCUCUUCAUUUUUCAUGAGCAUUUUGAGGUCAUAAGGUCAAUGUAAAUAACUUUGUAGAUAUUAUAAUGAUAGCACAUAUGAUCUAUAAUAUUACAUGUAUUGCUAACAGUAUGCCUAUGUCAACAGAUUAUAAGUUUGACAUAGUAAUAUUAAGCUAUGUGUAUUAACUUUGCUAGCAGUCAGCAUAAUUAUAUAGCCUUCUAAUGUGUCUUUGGAAACUAGGGAGAAAGUUAUGAUCAAAAUUGUUAACUAAGUCUUUAGAUAACAUAAAAACUUAAGGUGGUACCCAACACCUUCACUAAAGUUAAUUUGGCUGUUUAAUUUUUAUAAAAUUUUGACAAAGUGUUUACCUUGACACUUUGGCAAAAAUAUAAAAAUUUCUAAAAAUU